UACGAAGGGGGCUAGCGUUGCUCGGAAUCACUGGGCGUAAAGCGCACGUAGGCGGCUUUCUAAGUCAGGGGUGAAAUCCUGGAGCUCAACUCCAGAACUGCCUUUGAUACUGGAAAGCUUGAGUUCGGGAGAGGUGAGUGGAACUGCGAGUGUAGAGGUGAAAUUCGUAGAUAUUCGCAAGAACACCCAGUGGCGAAGGCGGCUCACUGGCCCGAUACUGACGCUGAGGUGCGAAAGCGUGGGGAGCAAACAGG
Molecule: ribosomal RNA, 254 nt
Filed under: uncultured bacterium
Lineage: Bacteria
Description: partial 16S ribosomal RNA
Rfam family: Bacterial small subunit ribosomal RNA
Source: RNAcentral